AUUGAAUGCUGGCGGCAUGCCUUACACAUGCAAGUCGAACGGUAACAGGUCUUCGGAUGCUGACGAGUGGCGAACGGGUGAGUAAUACAUCGGAACGUGCCUAGUAGUGGGGGAUAACUACUCGAAAGCGUGGCUAAUACCGCAUGAGAUCAACGGAUGAAAGUCGGGGAUCGCAAGACCUUGUGCUACUAGAGCGGCCGAUGGCAGAUUAGGUAGUUGGUGGGAUAAAAGCUUACCAAGCCGACGAUCUGUAGGUGGUCUGAGAGGACGAUCAGCCAGGCGGGUACUGAGACCCAGCCGAGACUCUUACAGUAGGAUGCAGUGGGGAAUUUUGGACAAUGGGCGCAAGCCUGAUCCAGCAAUACCGCGUGCAGGAUGAUGGCUUUCGGGUUGUAAACUGCUUUUGUACGGAACGAAAAGACCUGGUUUAAUACCCUGGGGUCAUGACGGUACCGUAAGAAUAAGCACCGGCUAACUACGUGCCAGCCGCCGCGGUAA
This 498-nucleotide ribosomal RNA is filed under the name uncultured bacterium. RNAcentral's name for it is "partial 16S ribosomal RNA". It matches the Rfam family "Bacterial small subunit ribosomal RNA", at positions 30 to 523 of the family's 1533-position model. The record is from RNAcentral.